Molecule: ribosomal RNA, 377 nt
Filed under: uncultured Serratia sp.
Lineage: Bacteria; Pseudomonadati; Pseudomonadota; Gammaproteobacteria; Enterobacterales; Yersiniaceae
Description: bacterial SSU rRNA
Rfam family: Bacterial small subunit ribosomal RNA
Source: RNAcentral
UAAUACGGAGGGUGCAAGCGUUAAUCGGAAUUACUGGGCGUAAAGCGCACGCAGGCGGUUUGUUAAGUCAGAUGUGAAAUCCCCGGGCUCAACCUGGGAACUGCAUUUGAAACUGGCAAGCUAGAGUCUCGUAGAGGGGGGUAGAAUUCCAGGUGUAGCGGUGAAAUGCGUAGAGAUCUGGAGGAAUACCGGUGGCGAAGGCGGCCCCCUCGGACGAAGACUGACGCUCAGGUGCGAAAGCGUGGGGAGCAAACAGGAUUAGAUACCCUGGUAGUCCACGCUGUAAACGAUGUCGAUUUGGAGGUUGUGCCCUUGAGGCGUGGCUUCCGGAGCUAACGCGUUAAAUCGACCGCCUGGGGAGUACGGCCGCAAGGUUA